Molecule: ribosomal RNA, 406 nt
Filed under: uncultured bacterium
Lineage: Bacteria
Description: partial 16S ribosomal RNA
Rfam family: Bacterial small subunit ribosomal RNA
Source: RNAcentral
AUUGAACGCUGGCGGCAGGCCUAACACAUGCAAGUCGAACGAGCGGCGGACGGGUGAGUAAUGUAUGGGAAUCUGCCCGAUAGAGGGGGAUAACUACUGGAAACGGUGGCUAAUACCGCAUACGAUCGGAUGAACCCAUAUGGGAUUAGCGAGUAGGUGGGGUAAAGGCUCACCUAGGCGACGAUCCCUAGCUGGUCUGAGAGGAUGAUCAGCCACACUGGGACUGAGACACGGACCAGACUCCUACGGGAGGCAGCGGUGGGGAAUAUUGCACAAUGGGCGCAAGCCUGAAGCAGCCAUGCCGCGUGUGUGAAGAAGGCCUUCGGGUUGUAAAGUACUUUGAGCGGGGAGGCGUUACCCGAAGAAGAAGCACCGGCUAACUCCGUGCCAGCAGCCGCGGUAAUUC